UAGGGAAUCUUCGGCAAUGGGGGGAACCCUGACCGAGCAACGCCGCGUGAGUGAAGAAGGUUUUCGGAUCGUAAAGCUCUGUUGUUAAGGAAGAACGAGUGUGAGAAUGGAAAGUUCAUACUGUGACGGUACUUAACCAGAAAAGGACGGCUAACUACGUGCCAGCAGCCGCGGUAAUACGUAGGUCCCGAGCGUUGUCCGGAUUUAUUGGGCGUAAAGCGAGCGCAGGCGGUUAGAUAAGUCUGAAGUUAAAGGCAGUGGCUCAACCAUUGUAGGCUUUGGAAACUGUUUAACUUGAGUGCAGAAGGGGAGAGUGGAAUUCCAUGUGUAGCGGUGAAAUGCGUAGAUAUAUGGAGGAACACCGGUGGCGAAAGCGGCUCUCUGGUCUGUAACUGACGCUGAGGCUCGAAAGCGUGGGGAGCGAACAGG
Molecule: ribosomal RNA, 429 nt
Filed under: Bacteroidota bacterium
Lineage: Bacteria; Pseudomonadati; Bacteroidota
Description: Bacteroidetes bacterium partial 16S ribosomal RNA
Rfam family: Bacterial small subunit ribosomal RNA
Source: RNAcentral